This is a long non-coding RNA of Clupea harengus (Atlantic herring), 456 nucleotides long. RefSeq lists it as uncharacterized. NCBI's taxonomy places the organism in Eukaryota, Metazoa, Chordata, Actinopteri, Clupeiformes, Clupeidae. The transcript has 2 exons. The record is from RefSeq and is a predicted model, not a curated record.
ACCCCUGGCACUUGUAAAUAUAUUAACUCUACGAUAAAUAAAUAACGAAAUUAGUUAAAUAAAUACAUCAAAUUAUCUAUUUCACUCAAGUUAUUCCAAUCUCUGACAUGAACGAAACCAACGCUUGAGGAUUGACAUAUUUGAAGACAUCAGAGGGCGAGAACACGCACGCGCGCGCGCACUCCCACUCAAUCAUACAAACAAGGAAAUAAGUCCAACAAAGGGCGGGCUCGCUACAAUACGAUUCAAACUAGGAAAAAUAGUAAUAUAAGGUCAACGUACAUCAGAGGCUAUAUACAGCGAUUGGCUUCCAUUUGGAGCAGUGUCGCCCCCAACCGAAAUGUAAGGAGGCGGAACUGUUGGCAUUCCACAAACCGAGAAUCGAAUGCAAUGGCCCAAAGCAUUAAUAUGCAUACACAUGAAAGUCAUGUAAAAUAAACAAAUAGUUAAUUUUAA